AUUGAACGCUGGCGGCAGGCCUAACACAUGCAAGUCGGACGGUAGCACAGAGAGCUUGCUCUUGGGUGACGAGUGGCGGACGGGUGAGUAAUGUCUGGGGAUCUGCCCGAUAGAGGGGGAUAACCACUGGAAACGGUGGCUAAUACCGCAUAACGUCGCAAGACCAAAGAGGGGGACCUUCGGGCCUCUCACUAUCGGAUGAACCCAGAUGGGAUUAGCUAGUAGGCGGGGUAAUGGCCCACCUAGGCGACGAUCCCUAGCUGGUCUGAGAGGAUGACCAGCCACACUGGAACUGAGACACGGUCCAGACUCCUACGGGAGGCAGCAGUGGGGAAUAUUGCACAAUGGGCGCAAGCCUGAUGCAGCCAUGCCGCGUGUAUGAAGAAGGCCUUCGGGUUGUAAAGUACUUUCAGCGGGGAGGAAGGCGGCAAGGUUAAUAACCUUGCCGAUUGACGUUACCCGCAGAAGAAGCACCGGCUAACUCCGUGCCAGCAGCCGCCGUAA
Molecule: ribosomal RNA, 504 nt
Filed under: uncultured bacterium
Lineage: Bacteria
Description: partial 16S ribosomal RNA
Rfam family: Bacterial small subunit ribosomal RNA
Source: RNAcentral